This 458-nucleotide ribosomal RNA is filed under the name Geoemyda japonica. RNAcentral describes it as "partial 16S rRNA". It matches the Rfam family "Bacterial large subunit ribosomal RNA", at positions 1970 to 2594 of the family's 2925-position model. The record is from RNAcentral. Lineage: Eukaryota; Metazoa; Chordata; Testudines; Geoemydidae.
UGUCUUUUAAAUAAAGACUAGAAUGAAUGGCCAAACGAGGUUCCACCUGUCUCCUACAGACAAUCAGUGAAAUUGAUCUUCCUGUGCAAAAGCAGGAAUAACACUAUAAGACGAGAAGACCCUGUGGAACUUCAAAUACAAGUCAACUACUAUCCACAUUCCCCCCACUGGGCCUAUACCUAAGUAACACCUGAUUUAUAUUUUCGGUUGGGGCGACCUCGGAGUAAAACAAAACCUCCGAAAAAAGAACUCUAUCUAAACCUAGACUUACAACCCAAAGUGCCUCCAGCAAAACGAUCCAGAUAUAUUUGAUCAACGAACCAAGCUACCCCAGGGAUAACAGCGCAAUCCCGUCCUAGAGUCCCUAUCGACGAUGGGGUUUACGACCUCGAUGUUGGAUCAGGACAUCCUGAUGGUGCAACCGCUAUCAAGGGUUCGUUUGUUCAACGAUUAAUAGU